ACAGUUCAGCACUAAGUCACUUUGUCUAUAUGGCAAAUGUGAGAUGCAGUGUAUGGAGCGUCAAUAUUCUAGUAUGAGAAAUUAAUGAUUUAAGUCCUUCUUAAAUGAGGCCAUUUACCCAUAGAGGGUGCCAGGCCCGUAUAACGUUAAUGAUUACUAGAUGAUGUUUCCAAAGAGUCGUGUUGCUUGAUAGUGCAGCACUAAGUGGGUGGUAAACUCCAUCUAAAACUAAAUAUAACCAUGAGACCGAUAGUAAACAAGUACCGUGAGGGAAAGUUGAAAAGAACUCUGAAUAGAGAGUUAAACAGUACGUGAAACUGCUUAGAGGUUAAGCCCGAUGAACCUGAAUAUCCGUU
RNAcentral lists this ribosomal RNA (356 nucleotides) under Chaetoceros curvisetus. RNAcentral describes it as "partial Eukaryotic large subunit ribosomal RNA". It matches the Rfam family "Eukaryotic large subunit ribosomal RNA", at positions 104 to 442 of the family's 3401-position model. Lineage: Eukaryota; Bacillariophyta; Thalassiosirophyceae; Chaetocerotales; Chaetocerotaceae. The record is from RNAcentral.